AGUGAACGCUGGCGGUAGGCCUAACACAUGCAAGUCGAACGGCAGCACAGUAAGAGCUUGCUCUUACGGGUGGCGAGUGGCGGACGGGUGAGGAAUACAUCGGAAUCUACUUUUUCGUGGGGGAUAACGUAGGGAAACUUACGCUAAUACCGCAUACGACCUACGGGUGAAAGCAGGGGAUCUUCGGACCUUGCGCGAUUGAAUGAGCCGAUGUCGGAUUAGCUAGUUGGCGGGGUAAAGGCCCACCAAGGCGACGAUCCGUAGCUGGUCUGAGAGGAUGAUCAGCCACACUGGAACUUAGACACGGUCCAGACUCCUACGGGAGGCAGCAGUGGGGAAUAUUGGACAAUGGGCGCAAGCCUGAUCCAGCCCUACCGCGUGGGUGAAGAAGGCCUUCGGGUUGUAAAGCCCUUUUGUUGGGAAAGAAAAGCAGCAGGUUAAUACCCCGCUGUUCUGACGGUACCCAAAGAAUAAGCACCGGCUAACUUCGUG
RNAcentral lists this ribosomal RNA (492 nucleotides) under uncultured bacterium. RNAcentral describes it as "partial 16S ribosomal RNA". It matches the Rfam family "Bacterial small subunit ribosomal RNA", at positions 29 to 507 of the family's 1533-position model. The record is from RNAcentral.